Oreochromis aureus is the source of this 1133-nucleotide long non-coding RNA. The record is from Ensembl. Lineage: Eukaryota; Metazoa; Chordata; Actinopteri; Cichliformes; Cichlidae.
GGGCGCUCUCUUCCUCACUCUGUCACUGCGCUGCUGUCUGACCUUCACACUGAUCCUCUGCAGCUCACCUGCUCUUUGACACCCUCUGACUCUCACAGUGACUGGCAGCUGAGGGGGCGGAGCCUGCAGCCAUGUUGGUGGUGGUGUUGUUACUGAUGAUGAUGAUGAAGAGUGACGGCGCUGCAGACAUCAUCAGAAUGUCUGCCAACAGCAGCACGAGUGUCGUGCUGCCAUCAGGCCUGCAGGGGGACCCGAGGACGCGCGGGUACGAUGUCAGGUGGACUCAGAUCCCUCACCUGCUGCUGAACUGGAACCGGAGCACGUGCUCCCACGGACGCUGCUCGAUGCUCCCUGACGGCUCGCUUGAGUUCAGCCGACUUCAGACCCAAGACUCCGGAAGCUACACGCUGGAGGUGUUUGACAAGACUGGGUCGAGACUGCAGACCAAAGACUUCCUGCUGCAGGUGACAGACCACAGCAGCAGCCAUGUGGUGUCUUCAGUGUCCGUCUGCGUCGUCCUGCUGGUUCUGUUGCUCUUCUUCAUCGUGGUCUUCAUCCUGAGGAAGAGGAGGGUUCAGAGGAAGAUGACCACAGGUCAGAAGGAGGAGAAGGAGGAGAACAUUUAUGUGGUGAUGAAGGGUUGCCAAGGUAACAAGAACAAUGAAGAGGAGAAGGAGAAGAAACUGGAGAAAGAGGAAGAGCCCCUCUAUGUUCCCUGCAGUCCUACAGUUUCCUCCCAGCAUGAAGACAGUGUGUACGUGUGAGGACCAAUCAGAGCCCAGCGUGUCUGCUCUGUAUGGAAGCCUUUGAGAGACUUUAUUAAUUGGAGAUAAACUAUCUGAAUUUCAGGAGCAGGACCACGCCUCCAAACACGCCCCUUCCUGUUCUUACCUAUAUUUGACCCCCCAGCUCUACAACCCCCCCUUCUCAUUAGUACUUGGGGACGUCCCCUCUGAGCCUUCCCCAAACUGCGGCUCAGUUCGUGUUUAAGCCGUCUGCCUUGAUCUAAUAAAACUGCUGUCAAGCUAACACGAGGACGUGUGAAAGUGAUGACGUACACCAGUGUUUCCCAACAACACAGGUGUGCCGUGCCUUUCCCGUUGUUACUCUGCUCUGAAGAUGUUACCAUGGAA